Austrofundulus limnaeus is the source of this 351-nucleotide long non-coding RNA. RefSeq lists it as uncharacterized. The transcript is spliced from 2 exons. NCBI's taxonomy places the organism in Eukaryota, Metazoa, Chordata, Actinopteri, Cyprinodontiformes, Rivulidae. The record is from RefSeq and is a predicted model, not a curated record.
GAGUAUUUGUUUAAUAUAUGUAUUCAGGUGAUGAGUAUUUGUUUAAUAAUUGUAUUCAGGUGAUGAGUAUUUGUUUAAUAAUUGUAUUCAGGUGAUGAGUAUUUGUUUAAUAAUUGUGUACAGGUGAUGAGUAUUUGUUUAAUAAUUGUGUACAGGUGAUGAGUAUUUGUUUAAUAAUUGUAUUCAGGUGAUGAGUAUUUGUUUAAUAAUUGUGUUCAGGUGAUGAGUAUUUGUUUAAUAUUUGUGUACAGGUGAUGAGUAUUUGUUUAAUAAUUGUAUUCAGGUGAUGAGUAUUUGUUUAAUAAUUGUAUACAGGUGAUGAGUAUUUGUUUAAUAUAUGUAUUCAGGUGA